This 168-nucleotide microRNA precursor is filed under the name Pelobates cultripes (western spadefoot toad). Lineage: Eukaryota; Metazoa; Chordata; Amphibia; Anura; Pelobatidae. The record is from RNAcentral.
GCAGACACAUUCCAGUCAAUCAGCAGCAGACCCUCCCUCCCAGACCCUCCCACCUCCUGGACAGCAUCCAUUUUACAUUCAUUGUGAAGCUGCAUUCUUAAUGAGCUGUCCAGGAGGUGGGAGGGUCUGGGAGGGAGGGUCUGCUGCUGAUUGGCUGGAAUGUGUCUG